Molecule: ribosomal RNA, 519 nt
Filed under: uncultured bacterium
Lineage: Bacteria
Description: partial 16S ribosomal RNA
Source: RNAcentral
ACACUGUUCAUGGGUUACCGCGGCUGCUGGCACGGAGUUAGCCGGUGCUUCUUCUGUGAGUGAUGUCCUUCCUGCCGGCUAUUAACCCGCAGGCCUUCUUCCUCACUGAAAGUGCUUUACAACCCGAAGGCCUUCUUCACACACGCGGCAUGGCUGGAUCAGGGUUGCCCCCAUUGUCCAAUAUUCCCCACUGCUGCCUCCCGUAGGAGUCUGGGCCGUGUCUCAGUCCCAGUGUGGCUGAUCAUCCUCUCAGACCAGCUACGGAUCGUCGCCUUGGUGAGCCGUUACCUCACCAACCAGCUAAUCCGACAUAGGCUCAUCCGAUAGCGCGAGGCCCGAAGGUCCCCCGCUUUCCCCCGUAGGGCGUAUGCGGUAUUAGCCUGGGUUUCCCCAGGUUAUCCCCCGACUACCGGGCAGAUUCCUAUGCAUUACUCACCCGUCCGCCGCUCGCCACCAGGGAGCAAGCUCCCCGUGCUGCCGCUCGACUUGCAUGUGUUAGGCCUGCCGCCAGCGUUCAAU